This 821-nucleotide ribosomal RNA is filed under the name uncultured archaeon. Its description in RNAcentral is "bacterial SSU rRNA". It matches the Rfam family "Archaeal small subunit ribosomal RNA", at positions 79 to 885 of the family's 1478-position model. The record is from RNAcentral.
GCCCUUACUGCUCAGUAACACGUAGUCAACCUGCCCUUGGGUCGAGAACAAUCUCGGGAAACUGAGGCUAAUUCUCGAUAAAUCAAGAUUCCUGGAAUGGGUUUUGGUCAAAAUGAUGUAACAGCAUCUUGUUAUUUUCGCCCGAGGAUGGGACUGCGGCCGAUCAGGCUGUUGGUGAGGUAAAGGCUCACCAAACCAGUAACCGGUACGGGCUUUGAGAGAAGGAGCCCGGAGAUGGACACUGAGACAAGGGUCCAGGUCCUACGGGGCGCAGCAGGCGCGAAACCUUCGCAAUGCGCGCAAGCGCGACGAGGUUAUUCCGAGUGAUUUCCGCUGAGGAAAUCUUUUCUCAGAUCUAAAAUGUCUGGGGAAUAAGGGGAGGGCAAGUCUGGUGUCAGCCGCCGCGGUAAUACCAGCUCCUCGAGUGGUCAGGGCGUUUAUUGGGCCUAAAGCAUCCGUAGCCGGCUCAGUAGGUCUCCUGUUAAAUCCAACGGCUCAACUGUUGGUCUGCAGGAGAUACCACUGGGCUAGGAGGCGGGAGAGGCGGACGGUACUCCGAGGGUAGGGGUAAAAUCCUUUGAUCCCCGGAAGACCACCAGUGGCGAAGGCGGUCCGCCAGAACGCGCUCGACGGUGAGGGAUGAAAGCUGGGGGAGCGAACCGGAUUAGAUACCCGGGUAGUCCCAGCUGUAAACGAUGCGAGCUAGGUGACACAAGGCCUUCGGGGCCUUGUGGUGCCGCAGGGAAGCCGUUAAGCUCGCCGCCUGGGGAGUACGGACGCAAGUCUGAAACUUAAAGGAAUUGGCGGGGGAGCACAAGGGC